RNAcentral lists this long non-coding RNA (443 nucleotides) under Salvia miltiorrhiza (redroot sage). Its description in RNAcentral is "long non-coding RNA (SMIL_LNC004144)". The record is from RNAcentral. Lineage: Eukaryota; Viridiplantae; Streptophyta; Magnoliopsida; Lamiales; Lamiaceae.
AUUAAUGACCACAAUUUAACAUUAAAAUCUCUGAUUAAAUAUAAAUUAAAUUGUUCAUUAAUGUAUAGGUACAAAAAAGUGAAGAAAUAAGUGAAUGUGUCGUAAAAAAAGGAGCAUUAAAAAUCCAUCGUAUUCUUCAAAAAUUGUAUCUUCUUCUUCUUCAAACUCAUAGUCUUCUGCCUUAAAUUAUUAUCAAAACACAAGAAAAUAAACAUCAUUCAUUUCCUCAAAAUAGAAAAAAAAAAAAAAGUUACUUCGAUUCAUCUUGGAUUUCAUAUUGCGUGCGAUUGAUUUGUUUUUCACGUGUAAUUGGGUUCAACAUAAACUAAUUCGCACACGAACAAAAAUCAAUUCGCACAUAAAUACAAACUAUUAUGCACACACAAAAAUUAAUUGGCACACAAAUAAAAACUAAUUCGCACAUAAAUAUAAACUAUAUGCAC